RNAcentral lists this ribosomal RNA (253 nucleotides) under uncultured bacterium. RNAcentral's name for it is "partial 16S ribosomal RNA". It matches the Rfam family "Bacterial small subunit ribosomal RNA", at positions 524 to 776 of the family's 1533-position model. The record is from RNAcentral.
GACGAACCGUACGAACGUUAUUCGGAAUCACUGGGCUUAAAGGGUGCGUAGGCGGCGCUGAAAGUUGGGUGUGAAAUCCCUCGGCUUAACCGAGGAAUUGCGCCCAAAACUACAGUGCUUGAGGGAGAUAGAGGUGAGUGGAACUUAGGGUGGAGCGGUGAAAUGCGUUGAUAUCCUAAGGAACACCAGUGGCGAAAGCGACUCACUGGGUCUUCUCUGACGCUGAGGCACGAAAGCUAGGGUAGCGAACGGG